AGUAGCGGCGAGCGAAGCGGGAAGAGCCCGGUGUGAAAAUCUCUUCGGAGAAUUGUAUUCGAGUGUUCUUUGGGUGGUCAGUGCGAGCAAGUUGCUUGGGAUAGCACGCCAUGGAGGGUGAGAGCCCCGUCCAUCUCGCACAGGAUCCAUCCGCACAAGGACGCUUCAACCGAGUCGGGUAGCUUGGGAAUGCUGCUCUAAUUGGUGGUAAAUCUCAUCAAAGGCUAAAUAACGGUGGGAGACCGAUAGCGAACAAGUACCGUGAGGGAAAGAUGGAAAGAACUUUGAAAAGAGAGUGAAAAGAACUUGAAACCGUCACGGGGGAAGCGGAUUGCGUGAGUGGUGGUGUCGCUUGUUCAGCGCCUUUGGCGUGCAUUCUGGCGAUACCUUGUCGUUGUGGCUGGUUGGUCCGUGAUUUUGACGGACUGGCUGGUGAGGGCUCCCUUUACAGGUGAGGACGACGACAAAAUGACGCAAUACGACCCGUCUUGAAACACGGACCAAGGAGUCUAGCACGGCUGCGAGUCGAAGGGUGUAAAACCCAUGGGCGCAGUGAAAGCGAUUUAAAUUGCAAAUUGGGGAGGCGUGGCGUUUUUAACAAUAUGUCCUACCUUGAGCAUUUGUGCUGGGACCCGAAAGAUGGUGAACUAUGCCGGAGUAGGGCAAAGCCAGAGGAAACUCUGGUGGAGGCUCGUAGCGAUGCUGACGUGCAAAUCGCUCGUCGAACUUGGGUAUAGGGGCGAAAGACUAAUCGAACCAUCUAGUAGCUGGUUCCCUCCGAAGUUUCUCUCAGGAUAGCGGGCCGACAUAUGUUGUUUUGUGCGGUAAAGCGAAUGAUUAGUGCAUUUGGGGUCUGAUAGACUUCGGGCGAUUCUCAAACUUUAAAUGCGCAAGGGGGUGGCUGCUUAAUUGAGCCUACUCUUUGAAAAACGUCGGCCCUGUGGGCCACUUUUGGUAAGCAGAACUGGCGAUAAGGGAUGAACCUUAAGCGCGGUUAAGGCGCCGCAUUGCCCGCUUAUAGACCCCACAAAAGGUGUUGAUUCAUUUAGACAGCAGGACGGUGGCCAUGGAAGUCGGAAUCCGCUAAGGAGUGUGUAACAACUCACCUGCCGAAUGAAUUAGCCCUGAAAAUGGAUGGCGCUUAAGCGGGCAGCCGACACCGCGCCGUUCCGGCGAGACGAUGCCGGGAUGAGUAGGAGGGCGUGGCGGUCAGUGAGGCAGGCGAGGGUGCAGACCCCGCUGAAACGGCCGCUAGUGCAGAUCUUGGUGGUAGUAGCAAAUAUUCAAGCGAGAUCCUUGAAGGGCGAAGCGGGGAAGGGUUCCACGCAAACAUUGAUUGGGCGUGGGUGAGUCGUUCCUAAGCCGAGUGGCAAUUGCUAAGUAGCGGCGAAAGGGAAGCGGGUUAAAAUUCCCGCACACGGAUAUGGAGGCGGCGACGCAAGCAGAGGCAAAUACGCUGGCGAGGGCGCUGGGCAGAGUUGUCUUUUCUGUUUGACCGGCAUCGCGCUGUGUGGAAUCCGCUUAUCGGGAGAAACACGCGCG
Molecule: ribosomal RNA, 1542 nt
Filed under: Gloiocallis dendroidea
Lineage: Eukaryota; Rhodophyta; Florideophyceae; Nemaliales; Liagoraceae
Description: eukaryotic LSU rRNA
Rfam family: Eukaryotic large subunit ribosomal RNA
Source: RNAcentral